Molecule: ribosomal RNA, 768 nt
Filed under: uncultured bacterium
Lineage: Bacteria
Description: bacterial SSU rRNA
Rfam family: Bacterial small subunit ribosomal RNA
Source: RNAcentral
AGAGUUUGAUCCUGGCUCAGAUUGAACGCUAGCGGGAUGCCUUACACAUGCAAGUCGAACGGCAGCGGGAAGAAAGCUUGCUUUCUUUGCCGGCGAGUGGCGAACGGGUGAGUAAUGUAUCGGAACGUGCCCAGUAGCGGGGGAUAACUGGCCGAAAGGUCAGCUAAUACCGCAUACGCCCUACGGGGGAAAGGGGGGGAUUCUUCGGAGCCUCUCACUAUUGGAGCGGCCGAUAUCGGAUUAGCUAGUUGGUGGGGUAAUGGCCUACCAAGGCGACGAUCCGUAGCUGGUUUGAGAGGACGACCAGCCACACUGGGACUGAGACACGGCCCAGACUCCUACGGGAGGCAGCAGUGGGGAAUUUUGGACAAUGGGGGAAACCCUGAUCCAGCCAUCCCGCGUGUGCGAUGAAGGCCUUCGGGUUGUAAAGCACUUUUGUCAGGGAAGAAAAGGUUCUGGCUAAUACCCGGAACUGAUGACGGUACCUGAAGAAUAAGCACCGGCUAACUACGUGCCAGCAGCCGCGGUAAUACGUAGGGUGCAAGCGUUAAUCGGAAUUACUGGGCGUAAAGCGUGCGCAGGCGGUUCGGAAAGAAGGAUGUGAAAUCCCAGGGCUCAACCUUGGAACUGCAUUCUUAACUACCGGACUAGAGUAUGUCAGAGGGGGGUAGAAUUUCCGCGUGUAGCAGUGAAAUGCGUAGAUAUGCGGAGNAUACCGAUGGCGAAGGCAGCCCCCUGGGAUAAUACUGACGCUCAUGCACGAAAGCG